AGUGAACGCUGGCGGUAGGCCUAACACAUGCCAGUCGAACGGCAGCACAGUAAGAGCUUGCUCUUACGGGUGGCGAGUGGCGGACGGGUGAGGAAUACAUCGGAAUCUACUUUUUCGUGGGGGAUAACGUAGGGAAACUUACGCUAAUACCGCAUACGACCUACGGGUGAAAGCAGGGGAUCUUCGGACCUUGCGCGAUUGAAUGAGCCGAUGUCGGAUUAGCUAGUUGGCGGGGUAAAGGCCCACCAAGGCGACGAUCCGUAGCUGGUCUGAGAGGAUGAUCAGCCACACUGGAACUGAGACACGGUCCAGACUCCUACGGGAGGCAGCAGUGGGGAAUAUUGGACAAUGGGCGCAAGCCUGAUCCAGCCAUACCGCGUGGGUGAAGAAGGCCUUCGGGUUGUAAAGCCCUUUUGUUGGGAAAGAAAAGCGGCAGGUUAAUACCCCGCUGUUCCGACGGUACCCAAAGAAUAAGCACCGGCUAACUUCGUG
RNAcentral lists this ribosomal RNA (492 nucleotides) under uncultured bacterium. RNAcentral describes it as "partial 16S ribosomal RNA". It matches the Rfam family "Bacterial small subunit ribosomal RNA", at positions 29 to 507 of the family's 1533-position model. The record is from RNAcentral.